UGGACGACGCUGGCGGCGUGCCUAACACAUGCAAGUCGAGCGGAGAUGUACUGAAGAUUUAUCGGAUGUACAUCUUAGCGGCGGACGGGUGAGUAACGCGUGGGCAACCUGCCUUUCACUGGGGGAUAACACAGGGAAACCUGUGCUAAUACCGCAUGACAUCACGUAGGGCAUCCUAUGUGAUCAAAGGAGAGAUCCGGUGGAAGAUGGGCCCGCGUCCAAUUAGCUGGUUGGUGAGGUAAAGGCUCACCAAGGCGACGAUUGGUAGCCGAACUGAGAGGUUGAUCGGCCACAUUGGGACUGAGACACGGCCCAGACUCCUACGGGAGGCAGCAGUGGGGAAUAUUGCGCAAUGGGGGGAACCCUGACGCAGCAACGCCGCGUGAAGGAAGAAGGUCUUCGGAUUGUAAACUUCUUUGAUGAGGGACGAAUAAAGUGACGGUACCUCAAAAACAAGCCACGGCUAACUACGUG
Molecule: ribosomal RNA, 474 nt
Filed under: uncultured bacterium
Lineage: Bacteria
Description: bacterial SSU rRNA
Rfam family: Bacterial small subunit ribosomal RNA
Source: RNAcentral